GACUGGUCUGAAGGUAGUGAGUUAUCUCAAUAGAUUGUUCACUGUCAGUUACAGAUUGAACUUCUUGUUCUACUUUUCCCCUUCUUAGUACUGCGCUUGACUGCUCUGUU
Molecule: Y RNA, 110 nt
Filed under: Saimiri boliviensis boliviensis (Bolivian squirrel monkey)
Lineage: Eukaryota; Metazoa; Chordata; Mammalia; Primates; Cebidae
Description: Y RNA (ENSSBOG00000013285.1)
Rfam family: Y RNA
About the family: Y RNAs are components of the Ro ribonucleoprotein particle (Ro RNP), in association with Ro60 and La proteins. The Y RNAs and Ro60 and La proteins are well conserved, but the function of the Ro RNP is not known.
Source: Rfam by way of RNAcentral